GACGAACGCUGGCGGCGUGCUUAACACAUGCAAGUCGAACGGAAAGGCCCUGCUUUUGUGGGGUGCUCGAGUGGCGAACGGGUGAGUAACACGUGAGUAACCUGCCCUUGACUUUGGGAUAACUUCAGGAAACUGGGGCUAAUACCGGAUAGGAGCUCCUGCUGCAUGGUGGGGGUUGGAAAGUUUCGGCGGUUGGGGAUGGACUCGGGGCUUAUCAGCUUGUUGGUGGGGUAGUGGCUUACCAAGGCUUUGACGGGUAGCCGGCCUGGGCGGGUGACCGGCCACAUUGGGACUGAGAUACGGCCCAGACUCCUACGGGAGGCAGCGGUGGGGAAUAUUGCACAAUGGGCGGAAGCCUGAUGCAGCAGCGCCGCGGGCGGGAUGACGGCCUUCGGGUUGUAAACCGCUUUCGCCUGUGACGAAGCGUGAGUGACGGUAAUGGGUAAAGAAGCACCGGCUAACUACGUG
Molecule: ribosomal RNA, 468 nt
Filed under: uncultured bacterium
Lineage: Bacteria
Description: partial 16S ribosomal RNA
Rfam family: Bacterial small subunit ribosomal RNA
Source: RNAcentral